UACGAAGGGGGCUAGCGUUGUUCGGAAUCACUGGGCGUAAAGCGCACGUAGGCGGAUGUGCCAGUCAGGGGUGAAAUCCCGGAGCUCAACUUCGGAACUGCCUCUGAUACAGCACGUCUUGAGUCCGGAAGAGGUGGGUGGAAUUCCUAGUGUAGAGGUGAAAUUCGUAGAUAUUGGGAAGAACACCGAUGGCGAAGGCAGCCAUCUGGACCGACACUGACGCUGAGGCGCGAAAGCGUGGGGAGCAAACAGG
This 253-nucleotide ribosomal RNA is filed under the name uncultured bacterium. RNAcentral describes it as "partial 16S ribosomal RNA". It matches the Rfam family "Bacterial small subunit ribosomal RNA", at positions 524 to 776 of the family's 1533-position model. The record is from RNAcentral.